Molecule: ribosomal RNA, 301 nt
Filed under: uncultured bacterium
Lineage: Bacteria
Description: partial 16S ribosomal RNA
Rfam family: Bacterial small subunit ribosomal RNA
Source: RNAcentral
CAGUCGCCACGGUAAUACGAAGGGGGCUAGCGUUGCUCGGAAUUACUGGGCGUAAAGGGAGCGUAGGCGGACAUUUAAGUCAGGGGUGAAAUCCCAGAGCUCAACUCUGGAACUGCCUUUGAUACUGGGUGUCUUGAGUGUGAUAGAGGUAUGUGGAACUCCGAGUGUAGAGGUGUAAUUCGUAGAUAUUCGGAAGAACACCAGUGGCGAAGGCGACAUACUGGAUCAUUACUGACGCUGAGGCUCGAAAGCGUGGGGAGCAAACAGGAUUAGAUACCCCCGUAGUCCCUGUCUCUUAUAC